GGAUGAACGCUGGCGGCGUGCCUAACACAUGCAAGUCGAGCGGAGAUAAGUGAAGCCUAGCGAUCUAUCUUAGCGGCGGAUGGGUGAGUAACACGUGGGUAACCUGCCCUGUACUGGGGAAUAACAGCUGGAAACGGCUGUUAAUGCCGCAUAUGCGCACGGAGCCGCAUGACUCUGGGCGGAAAGAUUUAUCGGUACAGGAUGGGCCCGCGCCGGAUUAACUAGUUGGCGGGGUAACGGCCCACCAAGGUGAUGAUCCGUAGCCGACCUGAGAGGGUGACCGGCCACAUUGGGACUGAGACACGGCCCAAACUCCUACGGGAGGCAGCAGUGGGGGAUAUUGCACAAUGGGGGAAACCCUGAUGCAGCGACGCCGCGUGAAGGAUGACGUAUUUCGGUAUGUAAACUUCUAUCAGCGGGGAAGAAGAUGACGGUACCCGACUAAGAAGCCCCGGCUAACUACGUGCCAGCCGCAGC
Molecule: ribosomal RNA, 477 nt
Filed under: uncultured bacterium
Lineage: Bacteria
Description: bacterial SSU rRNA
Rfam family: Bacterial small subunit ribosomal RNA
Source: RNAcentral